This 213-nucleotide ribosomal RNA is filed under the name Triticum aestivum (bread wheat). Its description in RNAcentral is "partial small subunit ribosomal RNA". Lineage: Eukaryota; Viridiplantae; Streptophyta; Magnoliopsida; Poales; Poaceae. The record is from RNAcentral.
AUGAAGCUAAUCAGUUGGAAUUGCCGUGGUAUGCUUUCGCCCACGGCAAUUCGAGAGCUCUUGGAUCUUCAAGGGCGUGUGAAAGCGGAUGUGAUUUUCUUGUCUGAAUUCCAUCUGAAUACAGCUAAGGCAACUGAGCUAAGGGUGAAGCUAGGUUUUGAUCGUUUUCAUAUUGUUGAUAGUGAUGGACGAUCAGGAGGUCUUGCACUUUUU